This 318-nucleotide long non-coding RNA is filed under the name Manacus vitellinus (golden-collared manakin). RNAcentral's name for it is "lncRNA (ENSMVIG00005002492.1)". The record is from RNAcentral. Lineage: Eukaryota; Metazoa; Chordata; Aves; Passeriformes; Pipridae.
UUUUUUUUUCCCUCUGGAACAAACUAAAAAGGCUUUGGCAAGGCAGGGUCUUACAACAUCAAACUGUACUGAAGGCAGAUUUCCACAAAGUGCUUGCACAGCACAGAAAGUUUAAGUGUUGGCACCGAGACAGAAAUGGAUGUCUGACCCAAUAGUUCAUUUAUGCUCAUCCGUCACUGAGGAAGAUGGAUACUGCAGAGGAGUUGAUUAGGCUGUGAUUCAUCAUUCCUCUUUCUAGAGCUGAGUUACACCAGAUACUUUCUGCUAGUGAGCAUUAUGUGAUUGUUUUAUUUGAUGAUGGCAUGUUUUAUUUGUUAA